RNAcentral lists this ribosomal RNA (497 nucleotides) under uncultured bacterium. RNAcentral describes it as "partial 16S ribosomal RNA". It matches the Rfam family "Bacterial small subunit ribosomal RNA", at positions 28 to 507 of the family's 1533-position model. The record is from RNAcentral.
GAUGAACGCUGGCGGCGUGCCUAAUACAUGCAAGUCGAGCGAACAGACGAGGAGCUUGCUCCUCUGACGUUAGCGGCGGACGGGUGAGUAACACGUGGAUAACCUACCUAUAAGACUGGGAUAACUUCGGGACUCCGGAGCUAAUACCGGAUAAUAUAUUGAACCGCAUGGUUCAAUAGUGAAAGACGGUUUUGCUGUCACUUAUAGAUGGAUCCGCGCCGCAUUAGCUAGUUGGUAAGGUAACGGCUUACCAAGGCAACGAUGCGUAGCCGACGUGAGAGGGUGAUCGGCCACACUGGAACUGAGACAGGGUCAAGACUCCUACGGGAGGCAGCAGUAGGGAAUCUUCCGCAAUGGGCGAAAGCCUGACGGAGCAGCGCCGCGUGAGUGAUGAAGGUCUUCGGAUCGUAAAACUCUGUUAUUAGGGAAGAACAAAUGUGUAAGUAACUAUGCACGUCUUGACGGUACCUAAUCAGAAAGCCCCGGCUAACUACGUG